GCGGGAAGAGCACAAAUUUAUAAUCUGGCACCUUCGGUGUCCGAGUUGUAAUCUCUAGAAAUGUUUUCCGCGCUGGACCGCACACAAGUCUGUUGGAAUACAGCGGCAUAGUGGUGAGACCCCCGUAUAUGGUGCGGACGCCCAGCGCUUUGUGAUACAUUUUCGAAGAGUCGAGUUGUUUGGGAAUGCAGCUCAAAUUGGGUGGUAAAUUCCAUCUAAAGCUAAAUAUUGGCGAGAGACCGAUAGCGAACAAGUACCGUGAGGGAAAGAUGAAAAGCACUUUGGAAAGAGAGUUAACAGUACGUGAAAUUGUUGGAAGGGAAACGCUUGAAGUCAGACUUGCUUGCCGAGCAAUCGGUUUGCAGGCCAGCAUCAGUUUUCCGGGAUGGAUAAUGGUAGAGAGAAGGUAGCAGUUUCGGCUGUGUUAUAGCUCUCUGCUGGAUACAUCUUGGGGGACUGAGGAACGCAGUGUGCCUUUGGCGGGGGUUUCGACCUCUUCACACUUAGGAUGCUGGUGGAAUGGCUUUAAACGAC
RNAcentral lists this ribosomal RNA (534 nucleotides) under Rhodotorula mucilaginosa. RNAcentral's name for it is "partial large subunit ribosomal RNA". It matches the Rfam family "Eukaryotic large subunit ribosomal RNA", at positions 98 to 648 of the family's 3401-position model. The record is from RNAcentral. Lineage: Eukaryota; Fungi; Basidiomycota; Microbotryomycetes; Sporidiobolales; Sporidiobolaceae.